CGAUUCGCGCCUAGGGGAGGUCCUCUUUGCUUGCAGCAUGCUCCUGGGGAAGAUGAAACCAUGGCAGUACCACAUGAAUCAUCUGAGGUUAUAUCUCAAGGUGUCCUGAGAAGAUAUAAAAGAUGUCCUCACUGAGCUGGAACAUUUUCAGAUGAAACCAUGGCAGUACCACAUGAAGAAUCUGAGGUUGUAUCUCAAGCUGUCCUGAGAAGAUAUAAAAGACGUCCUCACUGAGCUGGAUCACUUUCAGGUCCAUGGAGAUGUUGUGGAUUAAAGACAUGUGAAAUGACAAAGGUCCUGGGGAUCAUAAAAUCCUUGUCUGAACCAGGCUUGUUUGGCAGAUGAGGCUGCUGGUCUCCUUAUCAGGGUCUCCUAGGAUUGUGGAGAGUUUGAGUCUUUGCUUCUAUCAGGGCUUUGAAUUGAAGUGAAUGGAUUUUGGUUCAAGCAACAAGGACUUUGCCACAUGGAUAACGUAGCAGAUGUCUUGAAUGUAGUACUUGCAUUUCUGAUAUGAAUGAACCUAAUAAAAGCAUUUAAAGUCA
Long non-coding RNA from Bufo gargarizans (Asiatic toad), 542 nucleotides. RefSeq lists it as uncharacterized. The transcript is spliced from 9 exons. The record is from RefSeq and is a predicted model, not a curated record. NCBI's taxonomy places the organism in Eukaryota, Metazoa, Chordata, Amphibia, Anura, Bufonidae.